Molecule: ribosomal RNA, 459 nt
Filed under: Peptostreptococcaceae bacterium oral taxon 106
Lineage: Bacteria; Bacillati; Bacillota; Clostridia; Peptostreptococcales; Peptostreptococcaceae
Description: bacterial SSU rRNA
Rfam family: Bacterial small subunit ribosomal RNA
Source: RNAcentral
GAUGAACGCUGGCGGCGUGCCUAACACAUGCAAGUCGAACGGUUGAGUACUUGACUUUUAGUUACUGAUUGUAAGAGAUGAGUGAUUAAAAGUUGAGUACUCGAUAGUGGCGGACGGGUGAGUAACGCGUAAGUAAUCAACCUGUGACACACGGAUAACUGAUAGAAAUGUCAGCUAAUACGAGAUGAACUGUUUAAAUUGGGAAAUGGAAACAGCAAAGCGAAAGCGGUCACAGACGAGCUUGCGUCUGAUUAGCUAGUUGGUGGGGUAAGAGCCUACCAAGGCGACGAUCAGUAGCCGGCCUGAGAGGGUGAACGGCCACAUUGGAACUGAGACACGGUCCAAACUCCUACGGGAGGCAGCAGUGGGGGAUAUUGCACAAUGGGGGGAACCCUGAUGCAGCAACGCCGCGUGAGUGAAGAAGGCCCUAGGGUCGUAAAAGCUCUGUCGUAUGGAAAG